Molecule: long non-coding RNA, 266 nt
Filed under: Elaeis guineensis (African oil palm)
Lineage: Eukaryota; Viridiplantae; Streptophyta; Magnoliopsida; Arecales; Arecaceae
Description: long non-coding RNA (EGUI_LNC013090)
Source: RNAcentral
UCCCCACGUCGGAUCGAUCGUUGUCGAUCCCGUGCCGGUCCUCCCCAUUCUUCCCCACCUCUCACCUCUUCCUUGGCACAAUCGGAUGCUCAUCGGAGCCCCAUCCUGGUGCCCUGACCUCUCCCCUUCUUUUCGGCCUCCCGGAUUCUUCUCCCACCACCCUCUCCACAUCGGAUCAAGCAUCCCCACACCGAAUUGAGCUUCUCCCUGUUGGAUCUGCCAUCCCAAGAUUCCCCCUUCUUCCUCCGUCGUCCUGUCGAAAUGCC